RNAcentral lists this transfer RNA (58 nucleotides) under Cepaea nemoralis (banded wood snail). RNAcentral's name for it is "tRNA-His". The record is from RNAcentral. Lineage: Eukaryota; Metazoa; Mollusca; Gastropoda; Stylommatophora; Helicidae.
UUUUAGUUAGGAUAUAUAGUCCGCUAGCUUGUGGUGCUUGAAGACAAUAGACUAAAAU